GCUGGAUAUGGGAGUCUGGGGCUAAGAGGAGGGGUGUUGGCUAGAUAUAUAAGCUUUGAAGUCAUCAGCCUAUAAAUAUUGACAAAACAAGUGAGGUGGCAGAGGAAUUAGUGAACAUAGAAAAAAAAGAGGUCUGAGGAUUGAGAUCAGAGGCAUGCCCAUAUAUUAAAGAUUAAGGAACAGAGGAAGAAUCCACAAAGGAGAUUGAGAAGGAGUAGUCAGGGAGGUAGAAAGCAAGCCAAGAGACUGUCUCAAGUAGAAGGGAAUGAUCAACUGCUGACUGAUUAAGUAAGAUAAGGACUGAGACUUAGCAACAUGGAGGUCAUCAGUGAUUUUUGACUAGCUCAACCUGUGAGAGUGAAAACAUGACUGAAGUGAGUUCAAAGGGAAGUGGAGGAGUGGUCUUAGAGACAGUGAAUGCAGUCAGUCCUUUAAAUUUUGUCCUGAAGGGGAGUCGAGAUAUGAUAUAAGGAAAAGAUUUUCAUUUUUCCAAUGGAAGAUAAUAUAGCACAUUUACUUGCUGGUGAGAAUGAUCCAAGAGAGGAGGAAAAAACUGAUAAAAGACAGGGAAAGAAGGGACAAAGUACAAUUACUAAAACUUUCAAGGAAGGGGAAGAAACUAAGACUAUAAGUAGAGGGAUUGUCUUAGCUCAGGGGAUGGAACAUGUGUGUACUGUAGCACGCAGGGUGCACUAACAGAUGCAAGUGAAUGUGGUGAUGGGAAUGAGGAGGGGCAUUUUCAGGUUGCUUUAAUUUUCUUAGUGAAUUUGGAGGUAAGGGCAUGAACUUGAAAUGAGGGUGGAAAAGGAGAUAUUGUAGGAAAAGAUACAAAAUAGUCAUUUAGGAGGGUGGGAGAGGAACUAAACAAGGAGAAUGGGGCAGUAAAUAGACUAGGAAGAUGUAGUGGGAUUGCUGAAUAGCACAAAAGUCUCACCGGAGGUGAGUGAUAACGAGUUUAAAUCAGGACCGCCUGGUUUGGAUGUGUAUUUUCUCCUGCCAUAUUAAGCUGCAGGCAUGUGCAAACAUCAUGUGUGGGGAAUUGAAUUAAGCCAGGACUGGGUCCUUUUCAAGAAAAUACAAUGAAAGGAGAGAAGGGCAAGAGAGUUGAAAGUGUAUGCAAGGGAAUUUAUACUGAUGGACUGUAGAAUCUACACAGGGUAAGGACGCGAGGUGAGUGCGGGACAGUGAAAAGGUGGUGGCAUCAGAUUAACUAAUUUUCAGUCCCAAAGGACCAGAAAUAUUUUAGGAAUUGGGAUGUUAGUGGGAAUAAACUAUUAGGUUGGUGCAAAAGUAAUUUUCUUGUUUGUUUGGUUUUUUGUUUGUUUGUUUGUUUUGCCCUUACUUUUGCACCAACCUAACAGGAAAAAUCAGUGGUUAUGGUCAGAAAGUGGGAAGCUUGAAGUUGAGAUUAUCAAGUUAAUAUCAGUGCAGUCAUUGGUAAUGAUAAGUUCUAGGAUCUAAGCAAUGGGAAGAAAGAAGUUGGCUGAAGAAAUGAUGGAAAUUAAUUAUAUAAUUGAAGAAAAAGAAGUCAAGGCACUGAGAGCAUGUUCAGUUGGCAGAAAUUCCAUGACAGCAUCUACAAGGGCAUAUUGGAGAGAGUGAGGCCCCAGCCUGCAUCCCUUUCUACAGAAGUAACAACAAUUUCCAGUUUCUGAGCCUUUCCAGGGUUGUACAUCAUUUCAGAGAGGCUUCAGGAUGGAGUUGUGAUAAACGCAUGUGUUCAGUCUACAAUGUUUAACAGGGAGUGCCUCUUGAUUUUUUCAUGUGAAUUACUGAGGAGUAGGUAGUAGACUAUCUUGAUGCCCUUCCUCAUGUCCCUUUGACUCUGAGUUGACCUGCAGCUGCAGUGAACACUUCCUAAGGAUGCUGAUGUCUUCCCCUAUCAAGCACUUGCCUCAUUCUGCUUCUCCGAGGAUUUCCUCCAGUACACCAAGAGCUUGCCCGACACUCACAAGGUAUCCUGGAACUGCUGGGGACUGAAAACCCCUCAACCCAUGAAGAAUGAGGAUCAGUGGAUUAAUAGCAACUGUCCCAUACCUUGGUGGGACUAUUAUAAGGCAUUCUGGUUGGUUCCUCAGAGGUCCCAAAUGGGAUUGAACCAAAGUUGCCCACAGUAAAAACUCAUUCACCAACUCAAUUUUCAUUUCACCCCUCUCAAUUUGCACACUCACUCACUUGUUCUACCUGGGAUACUCUCCAAGAUAAACUCCUGUAUCCAAAGCUUUGUCUCAAGGUCUCAUUUGGGAGGAACUCAAACUAAGAUAAUAGGUACUGGAAGUGACUACAGAAAGUAUAUUAUCAAUGGUAUGGAGGCAACAAAAACCCCAUUAAUGGUGGUGAGUAAGGUGGUGACAAACCCUGGCACUUUGAAGAAUUUCAUUACCCACAAUUGACCCAUGGUGUACUUGGAUGAGGUAAAAAUGAAAGGAGACGCUAACCUUAUGCAAUAGUGCUAACUCCUGAAAGAUAUAGGGCUGUGAUAAUCACAGGAAUUGAAGAGUUGUCUUGUUCUUGUUAACUCCCCUAGAAGAAUUGGGAAAAAAGAAAGAUAGGUUUACAACAUCCAACUACCCAUUCAGAGCAUAGCAAUGAAAGCCAGAAGGUCUCCUUGGGAGAAUCUGAAGAGACCCCCAUUUCCUGCAACCAGAGGGCAGGCUGUUCUAAAAAAAUGACAUUCAGGGGUUCACUGCAAGAGGAAUUGAACUACAGAGCAGACUGAAGACACAGUCCAGGCAGGCCUCUCAUGCAAAAGUCAAAGCCCUAGAGGAAGGAAAUGGUCCUUAAAAACUACUGGGAUGCAGGCAGGCAUCUGGAUAGAUGUGCUAGAUAACCUUGAACCCCUAGAUUCCCUGAACAACCCAGGCUAGCAGGAGUAUCCUGCACCCUGUUACUUGAACAGAACAGCUUCCCUUUGCCUAGAGACUCUACACAGUCCUCCUCUGAAGCAGACACCUCCAAGAUUACUUCAAGGUCUGCUACUUCCUGCCCUCAUUGCCUCUAUUCCAAAAACUGGAAACAAGUCUCAGCAUGCCCUGAGCAGGGUAGCACAUUUCUUGCUGUGAGAGAUAUGACAGAUUGUAUUUUCUAAAGAAGGCUGCAACCAUGUCUCUCAUCCCAAAUGCUCUUCUACAAUGCAAUCUUGUCACUCCUCUACCAAGAGAUGAAACCUAAUUUCAAUGCCCUUGAAUCUAAGCUGGACUUUACUUGCUUUGACCUGUAAUGUACAGAAGUGACACUGUGUGAUUCUUACAGCUGAGUCAUAAAAGGUGAUGCAGCUUCUGCCUUGUUCCUGGGGACAUAUGCCUCUGUGAGAUUGAGCUACUAAAUAACAAGACCACCUACCUUGAGGCUGCCAUGCUGGAAGAAAGCAAAGCCACAUGAAGAGCAAGUAAGCUGGUUGCUUUAGCAAGAUCCUUCAUAUUGAUAGUGAAUGUGCACUUCUGUCUUUCUCUUGUGAAUGCAAACCACUUUUUCAAUAGUCUCACGUUAAGUGCCAAAGAUUGUUGUUUUUGUUGAAUGCAUUCUCUUUAUCAUUCACUACCUGGCCCUAGGAAUUUGUUCAAUGAUCCUCAUUUCUGUUACAAUAUAGUCUUCAGUGACCUUGAUCAUCUUCACAUUCUAUAGAACAUCAUCCUGGCCCAUUAUAUUAAUGACAGAAUAAUAAUUGAACUUGGUUUUUAGGAAGGAGCAAGUAUACUGGUUUUAAAUACUUCAUGCUGAAGGAAUGAGAGAUAAGCCCUACAAAGUUUUGGAAGUCUGCCACAUCAGGGAAUAUUUUAGGGGCCCAAAGAUCCAGGGGUAUGUUGAGACACCCUACUCAAAAGAAUACUUUACAUUUCCUACCACUAAGACAGAGGCACAGCACUUGGUGAGCUGCUUUGAAUUCCUGAGGCAAAAAAAUAACAAUAAUAAAUACUACCCAUGAGAAUAAUGCUCUGAUCUAUUGUAUCAGAAGACUAUUGACUUUGCGGGGGUCUGAGAGAGUAUCUGAAUAGCCUUUUAAAGACUUAAAAAGGCAUUGGCUUAGGAAUUGCACCUUGCAUGGCUAGGUCAUUGUCCUCGAGGAUACAGCAUAUUUGUUGAACCAGUGAUCACUAUAUGCAAUCACUGUGCUGUUUUCCCAGCAUUUGGAAUACACAGGAAUGAUAAUUAAAGGAUACAAGUAGGACUGACUUAAACACACUCCCUUUCACCCAUUAGUGGAAAUUAUGUUUUUAAUUCUUACAACUUUAGGCUCUUCCUGAUUAAAAGCCUUGGUCUCAAGGUGUGUGUACAGACGGAGACAGUAAGUGUUCCACUGCAUCAAUGCAGUGCCAUCUGAGGAUUUGGGCAUCUCCAUACUGACAGGUCAGCAGGCAAAAAUGGGAGUACUAUACUGGCAGGGACACCUGACUGAUUAUCUUGAAGAGUCGGAGUUGCUGCUACAUAAUGGGCCCAGGGAGGAAGAUGUCUAGAACUUGGGGGAAUCACUCAGGCCCCCCUUAGUGCUUCUUUGUCUGGCGAUAAUAGCAGAGAAGCAAUUGAAGUAGCCAUGUCCUCACAAGGGCAAGGUAAUCAAGGCCCAGCCACUCAGAGAUGAAGGUCUGGUCAUACACUGAGCAAGCAAUGAUGACUAGUGGAAGUGCUAGCCAAGGAUUCGGGAAAUCUAGAAGAAGUGGAAUUGGAGAGAGAUGAUGAGUAUAGAUUAUAGCCUUGGGACCAGCUGCAGCAGUGAAGAUUGUGACUUGUUCCACAUAUUCUUCUAUUUUCAGUCAUUUUUGGAGAUUGCAGCCAGCUACAACUCUGAAAUGUCAGUAACAGAGCAAACUAAGGGUGGGCAUGAGAGGAUCUGCUGAGAGCAAGGAAUGAACAUGGUAGUCACUAAUGAUACACUGCCCAUGUUCCCCGGCUCACCUGUUAGCUCCCCGGCAGCUUGCAAACAUGUCUAUACACACUGCCAUCUUCCUACCACGAGUGCCAUAACUCUCUGCUUCUCUGCUGAGGCCCUUCUCAGCUCACAGUGCGAGUAGCCUGCAAGUGCUAAGGGCAUAAUGCCUCCAAGGUCAACUUUAAUCAACGAGGUUCAAGAGUCAGAAGAGUGAAUUCCUUCUGAGAUACAUUCUUUCUGGUUUCUCAGAGGCUCCCCAGAGGAAGUAGGCCCCAGUUGCUUAGGAAAAAUGGAACCUACUUAUUAAGGCACCCCCUUUUUACUUUUCUCCUUUCUUUCUCUCCCUUUCCCCACUCCAUUCCGUGAAGUUCCUGGGAUCACCAAAUAAACUAUCUGUAAUCAAAUCUUUAUCUCACUCUGCAUUCUGGGGAACCCAAACAAAGAUGGUAAGUUUGCCUAUCUACAUUUAUGUCUUAUUUGCUACAAGUAUUACUGGUAAUUUUCUUGACAAAAGUAAUAUGAUAUCUGCUGAUAGGCCAAAAUAAUACAUAUUUAUAGUGAUAACUGCAGCAAAAAUGUGAAAACCAAUUUUAAAAAGUUAUUUUCACUAGUUUAAGAAAAA
Molecule: long non-coding RNA, 5489 nt
Filed under: Homo sapiens (human)
Lineage: Eukaryota; Metazoa; Chordata; Mammalia; Primates; Hominidae
Description: HSALNT0322742
Source: RNAcentral